Molecule: long non-coding RNA, 309 nt
Filed under: Homo sapiens (human)
Lineage: Eukaryota; Metazoa; Chordata; Mammalia; Primates; Hominidae
Description: HSALNT0368437
Source: RNAcentral
UUUCCCCUAUCACUCAGGCACUGGCAGGGUCCUUGGCCCACUCCUGUUGGCCGCCGCGGCUCCAAAGCGAGCUGGGCAGAUGUGCCUGAGACAGGUUUGACCAGGCAACUGAAAAGACAUCCCUAAGGGAAGACAAAGCAAAGGUAUGAAAGGAACACACGUCCCUGACUGACUAGGAGGAACAGAGCUGCCUGCUGUCUGGAACCGCUUCCUCCCAGACUAAGUGAGGCCCGGAGACAAGAUAUGACUUGCUUAAGGUCACACACUUAGUUUCUCUGUCAAUCUUUCUAAAUCGAGGACGAGUUCUCU